This 468-nucleotide ribosomal RNA is filed under the name uncultured bacterium. Its description in RNAcentral is "partial 16S ribosomal RNA". It matches the Rfam family "Bacterial small subunit ribosomal RNA", at positions 28 to 507 of the family's 1533-position model. The record is from RNAcentral.
GACGAACGCUGGCGGCGUGCUUAACACAUGCAAGUCGAACGGAAAGGCCCUGCUUUUGUGGGGUGCUCGAGUGACGAACGGGUGAGUAACACGUGAGUAACCUGCCCUUGACUUUGGGAUAACUUCAGGAAACUGGGGCUAAUACCGGAUAGGAGCUCCUGCUGCAUGGUGGGGGUUGGAAAGUUUCGGCGGUUGGGGAUGGACUCGCGGCUUAUCAGCUUGUUGGUGGGGUAGUGGCUUACCAGGGCUUUGACGGGUAGCCGGCCUGAGAGGGUGACCGGCCACAUUGGGACUGAGAUACGGCCCAGACUCCUACGGGAGGCAGCAGUGGGGAAUAUUGCACAAUGGGCGGAAGCCUGAUGCAGCAACGCCGCGUGCGGGAUGACGGCCUUCGGGUUGUAAACCGCUUUCGCCUGUGACGAAGCGUGAGUGACGGUAAUGGGUAAAGAAGCACCGGCUAACUACGUG